Molecule: ribosomal RNA, 2930 nt
Filed under: Escherichia coli
Lineage: Bacteria; Pseudomonadati; Pseudomonadota; Gammaproteobacteria; Enterobacterales; Enterobacteriaceae
Description: 23S ribosomal RNA
Rfam family: Bacterial large subunit ribosomal RNA
Source: RNAcentral
GGGUUGUGAGGUUAAGCGACUAAGCGUACACGGUGGAUGCCCUGGCAGUCAGAGGCGAUGAAGGACGUGCUAAUCUGCGAUAAGCGUCGGUAAGGUGAUAUGAACCGUUAUAACCGGCGAUUUCCGAAUGGGGAAACCCAGUGUGUUUCGACACACUAUCAUUAACUGAAUCCAUAGGUUAAUGAGGCGAACCGGGGGAACUGAAACAUCUAAGUACCCCGAGGAAAAGAAAUCAACCGAGAUUCCCCCAGUAGCGGCGAGCGAACGGGGAGCAGCCCAGAGCCUGAAUCAGUGUGUGUGUUAGUGGAAGCGUCUGGAAAGGCGCGCGAUACAGGGUGACAGCCCCGUACACAAAAAUGCACAUGCUGUGAGCUCGAUGAGUAGGGCGGGACACGUGGUAUCCUGUCUGAAUAUGGGGGGACCAUCCUCCAAGGCUAAAUACUCCUGACUGACCGAUAGUGAACCAGUACCGUGAGGGAAAGGCGAAAAGAACCCCGGCGAGGGGAGUGAAAAAGAACCUGAAACCGUGUACGUACAAGCAGUGGGAGCACGCUUAGGCGUGUGACUGCGUACCUUUUGUAUAAUGGGUCAGCGACUUAUAUUCUGUAGCAAGGUUAACCGAAUAGGGGAGCCGAAGGGAAACCGAGUCUUAACUGGGCGUUAAGUUGCAGGGUAUAGACCCGAAACCCGGUGAUCUAGCCAUGGGCAGGUUGAAGGUUGGGUAACACUAACUGGAGGACCGAACCGACUAAUGUUGAAAAAUUAGCGGAUGACUUGUGGCUGGGGGUGAAAGGCCAAUCAAACCGGGAGAUAGCUGGUUCUCCCCGAAAGCUAUUUAGGUAGCGCCUCGUGAAUUCAUCUCCGGGGGUAGAGCACUGUUUCGGCAAGGGGGUCAUCCCGACUUACCAACCCGAUGCAAACUGCGAAUACCGGAGAAUGUUAUCACGGGAGACACACGGCGGGUGCUAACGUCCGUCGUGAAGAGGGAAACAACCCAGACCGCCAGCUAAGGUCCCAAAGUCAUGGUUAAGUGGGAAACGAUGUGGGAAGGCCCAGACAGCCAGGAUGUUGGCUUAGAAGCAGCCAUCAUUUAAAGAAAGCGUAAUAGCUCACUGGUCGAGUCGGCCUGCGCGGAAGAUGUAACGGGGCUAAACCAUGCACCGAAGCUGCGGCAGCGACGCUGAUGCGUUGUUGGGUAGGGGAGCGUUCUGUAAGCCUGCGAAGGUGUGCUGUGAGGCAUGCUGGAGGUAUCAGAAGUGCGAAUGCUGACAUAAGUAACGAUAAAGCGGGUGAAAAGCCCGCUCGCCGGAAGACCAAGGGUUCCUGUCCAACGUUAAUCGGGGCAGGGUGAGUCGACCCCUAAGGCGAGGCCGAAAGGCGUAGUCGAUGGGAAACAGGUUAAUAUUCCUGUACUUGGUGUUACUGCGAAGGGGGGACGGAGAAGGCUAUGUUGGCCGGGCGACGGUUGUCCCGGUUUAAGCGUGUAGGCUGGUUUUCCAGGCAAAUCCGGAAAAUCAAGGCUGAGGCGUGAUGACGAGGCACUACGGUGCUGAAGCAACAAAUGCCCUGCUUCCAGGAAAAGCCUCUAAGCAUCAGGUAACAUCAAAUCGUACCCCAAACCGACACAGGUGGUCAGGUAGAGAAUACCAAGGCGCUUGAGAGAACUCGGGUGAAGGAACUAGGCAAAAUGGUGCCGUAACUUCGGGAGAAGGCACGCUGAUAUGUAGGUGAAGUCCCUUGCGGAUGGAGCUGAAAUCAGUCGAAGAUACCAGCUGGCUGCAACUGUUUAUUAAAAACACAGCACUGUGCAAACACGAAAGUGGACGUAUACGGUGUGACGCCUGCCCGGUGCCGGAAGGUUAAUUGAUGGGGUUAGCGCAAGCGAAGCUCUUGAUCGAAGCCCCGGUAAACGGCGGCCGUAACUAUAACGGUCCUAAGGUAGCGAAAUUCCUUGUCGGGUAAGUUCCGACCUGCACGAAUGGCGUAAUGAUGGCCAGGCUGUCUCCACCCGAGACUCAGUGAAAUUGAACUCGCUGUGAAGAUGCAGUGUACCCGCGGCAAGACGGAAAGACCCCGUGAACCUUUACUAUAGCUUGACACUGAACAUUGAGCCUUGAUGUGUAGGAUAGGUGGGAGGCUUUGAAGUGUGGACGCCAGUCUGCAUGGAGCCGACCUUGAAAUACCACCCUUUAAUGUUUGAUGUUCUAACGUUGACCCGUGAUCCGGGUUGCGGACAGUGUCUGGUGGGUAGUUUGACUGGGGCGGUCUCCUCCUAAAGAGUAACGGAGGAGCACGAAGGUUGGCUAAUCCUGGUCGGACAUCAGGAGGUUAGUGCAAUGGCAUAAGCCAGCUUGACUGCGAGCGUGACGGCGCGAGCAGGUGCGAAAGCAGGUCAUAGUGAUCCGGUGGUUCUGAAUGGAAGGGCCAUCGCUCAACGGAUAAAAGGUACUCCGGGGAUAACAGGCUGAUACCGCCCAAGAGUUCAUAUCGACGGCGGUGUUUGGCACCUCGAUGUCGGCUCAUCACAUCCUGGGGCUGAAGUAGGUCCCAAGGGUAUGGCUGUUCGCCAUUUAAAGUGGUACGCGAGCUGGGUUUAGAACGUCGUGAGACAGUUCGGUCCCUAUCUGCCGUGGGCGCUGGAGAACUGAGGGGGGCUGCUCCUAGUACGAGAGGACCGGAGUGGACGCAUCACUGGUGUUCGGGUUGUCAUGCCAAUGGCACUGCCCGGUAGCUAAAUGCGGAAGAGAUAAGUGCUGAAAGCAUCUAAGCACGAAACUUGCCCCGAGAUGAGUUCUCCCUGACCCUUUAAGGGUCCUGAAGGAACGUUGAAGACGACGACGUUGAUAGGCCGGGUGUGUAAGCGCAGCGAUGCGUUGAGCUAACCGGUACUAAUGAACCGUGAGGCUUAACCUUACAACGCCGAAGCUGUU